GCCCAUUUUUGCCCCCUUCUACACAAUUAAUUGGAGAGAUUUGAAGAUCAAGAGGAGGAAAAAGAUGGAGCUCAUGGUAGCCAUGGCAACUCACGGCCAUGGCUUUCUUGAAGACAUUUCAUGGUGAAAAAUUAGAGCUUGUCUCUAAGACCUUGGGGAGCCCGAGGCGUAGAUUUGGAUUAGCUUUAGAUUGGCUAUCUUGGAAGUGCGUUCGAGGUACCGACGACAGGUUUGCUGAUCCGUCCGUCUAGGAUAUCUUUUCUGCCAUUUGGAGCGCUCUUUUAUUCAGAGCCCAUCUUUUGGUACAGUCUGUCACUACUGUAUUUAUAUAUUCUC
Lycium barbarum (goji berry) is the source of this 336-nucleotide long non-coding RNA. RefSeq lists it as uncharacterized. The transcript has 3 exons. NCBI's taxonomy places the organism in Eukaryota, Viridiplantae, Streptophyta, Magnoliopsida, Solanales, Solanaceae. The record is from RefSeq and is a predicted model, not a curated record.